GGUUUGUUUACAAUAUUACAAUCGACAGCUGUCGUUCCUAACACGGUUUCAUAAUGAUCAAUCGAUAUUCAGACGCAUAUUGUGAUUCUGUUGCUGCUGCGUUUCUAUUAUUGAUUCAUUAAGAUUUUCCGGGCGUUAGAAAGAAGGCGUUGAAAUUAGGCAGAUUGUCUGAAAAAUGAUUAAAGCACAAUUUCUUCCCUUCGCACCCUUUUGACAAUCAGCUGUCCUGCAACUUUUUACACGAGUUACGACGAUAUGGAAUAUCUAAGAUGUCAGCUGAACGAAGUCCAUGCGCAGUACUUUCAUCACGUAUAACAUUAUACAUCCAUACAUGUCUGAUAAUAAGAGAACAAGGAAAAAUUAUGAUAUUUUAACACGUUUACGAUGAAAGAAAAUUGAAUUUCAACGCUUACAACACCUCGGGUUAAAACUAAACCCUCGAGUCUGAUGGGUAGUAAAAUUUUCCGAAUAAUGCGCAAUAGCAUGCGGAGUGAGAAAAUGAGGAAUAUAAAUCACUCACCUCCUCGAUUAUCUCUACAAACACUCGAAUAUUACUCCUCUAGGGGUGGAGGCUUCCCCUUCAUGGUAUCAGGGCUAAUUCCCCGGAGGAAGGGAUCCUGUUACAUGACGCAACCCGGAAACAGCCGCGUCUUAGGCCCGGUUCCCGAGCUGAUGGGGGAUGUUUUCUUACAAGGGAUCCAAGGGAUCGGAAAUCAAAGACCGGAAUCCAGAGCUACCACAGGCCGCAGCCACCACCGACUACCGACUGACGAACCAAGCCGUUUGGAGUCGCGACUACGUCCAACUGCGUCGUCGUCGCGGUAUUUUGGAAUGGUGGUAGUUUCGCGGUGGCGUCGUUGGUCGAUCGCCGUCCCUUUCCUUUUUCCUCGGCGGUGAACCGAUGUCGUUUCUCCUCUUCGUUUCGUCGACGAGACGUCUCGACGCCGGCGUCGUCCCCCUCCGUAAUUUUCCAUCCCUAUUUACCACUUCGCGCAGGGGUCGAUUUCUUUUGUUGUCCUCGACGAUGUAGAAAGGAGCGCCAAACUCCCGAUUAAUCAUCGUGUUGAGGGUAUAGUUAAUUAGUAAUUUGAUUGAAUAAAUAAAUAAAUAACUUGUUUAUCAUUCGGUAACAAUUGGCUUCUUUUUUUCUUAUGCAACUUCGACGUAUUUUUUAAUAUCACCUAUCCGUGUUGGUAAUCAGAACACUCGUUAUGCGGUCAUCUUCAUUUUCGCGAUGCGGGUUAUUUUGUAAUUACAUACACCGAUGAUUUGUCAAAUUUAUCAUUGAACAAAUUGCGCAACAGAUUGAUUCAAGAUGCCAUAUUAUACCAAAGCCAAGUUUGAACAGCUCUGUUGAAUACUCUACGUGAUUUUAAUGUUGAAAACCAACUGGCUGUAUUUAAACGAGCAGCCGCUCUGAGGCGCGAUAAAUUUAUAACGUGAACGUGAGCGAUUUUCGUAAUAUCUUUACUCACACUGAAAUUUUCACUUCUACGGUUUGCCAACUGUUUCGCAGUUUAAAGACAUUGAAAAAUACGACAGAUUAUUGAAACGACAUGUAAUAUAUUGCUGUACAUGGUUGGUAUAGUGUUUGGAAAACCCGAUUUAAUCCUAUUUUGUCUAUCAUUCGUAGCUACUAUGUACACAGCUGUUGCUCCUCCUAGAAUAUUUCACAGAAAAUUCUAUGUACAAUCGUAUAAAUGCAUAAA
RNAcentral lists this long non-coding RNA (1709 nucleotides) under Neodiprion lecontei (redheaded pine sawfly). Its description in RNAcentral is "uncharacterized LOC124294007". The record is from RNAcentral. Lineage: Eukaryota; Metazoa; Arthropoda; Insecta; Hymenoptera; Diprionidae.